GGGGCUGCGGCGGCAGUAGCAGUGGGAGAGGGACCGGCUUCAUCUUCAGACUCUUCGCCCAAGAAGCUGAGGUCGAGCUCGGGAAAUUUCUUGACCACCUUCUCUUGACAGAGCUCGAAUCUUUUGAUGAAUGCUUCUUGACCGAACUUGAUGUUCAGAUCCCUCAUCUCCGCAGAGGCCUUGAACUCCUCCACUGCUAGAGCCCUGGCCUCCGAGACCAGGACUG
This 226-nucleotide long non-coding RNA is filed under the name Elaeis guineensis (African oil palm). Its description in RNAcentral is "long non-coding RNA (EGUI_LNC054228)". The record is from RNAcentral. Lineage: Eukaryota; Viridiplantae; Streptophyta; Magnoliopsida; Arecales; Arecaceae.